This 76-nucleotide small nuclear RNA is filed under the name Homo sapiens (human). Its description in RNAcentral is "partial ncRNA". The record is from RNAcentral. Lineage: Eukaryota; Metazoa; Chordata; Mammalia; Primates; Hominidae.
AGAUCAGUUGAGCCCAGGAGAUGGAGGCUGCAGUGAGCCAAGAUCACACCACUGCACUCCAUCCUGGGCAACAGAG